RNAcentral lists this ribosomal RNA (457 nucleotides) under Leptotrichia hofstadii. RNAcentral describes it as "bacterial SSU rRNA". It matches the Rfam family "Bacterial small subunit ribosomal RNA", at positions 28 to 504 of the family's 1533-position model. The record is from RNAcentral. Lineage: Bacteria; Fusobacteriati; Fusobacteriota; Fusobacteriia; Fusobacteriales; Leptotrichiaceae.
GAUGAACGCUGACAGAAUGCUUAACACAUGCAAGUCUUUGGCGAAUCUGUGCUUGCACAGGUAGCCAAGGCGGACGGGUGAGUAACGCGUAAAGAACUUGCCCUGCAGACAGGGAUAACAGACGGAAACGACUGACAACACCUGAUACAGUUGCCGGCACGCAUGUGUCUGGCAAUGAAAAGAGAUGCUGCGGGAGAGCUUUGCGUCCUAUUAGCUUGUUGGCGGGGUAACGGCCCACCAAGGCGAUGAUAGGUAGCCGGCCUGAGAGGGUGGACGGCCACAAGGGGACUGAGAUACGGCCCUUACUCCUACGGGAGGCAGCAGUGGGGAAUAUUGGACAAUGGGGGCAACCCUGAUCCAGCAAUUCUGUGUGCACGAUGAAGGUUUUCGGAUUGUAAAGUGCUUUCAGCAGGGAAGAAGGAAGUGACGUACCUGCAGAAGAGCGACGGCUAAUACA